GUAGGAGGAGGAUUAGGUUAAACCGAAAAGUAUGGAUCUUGAGCCCAGCCACUUAAAUUCUUAGGCGCCUCAGUUGGGCGGGGUUUGAUAGUUGAAGGCGCUACCCUCUUCUCACGUUAAUCCGCGGGCGCGUACAGCCCUCCUCCCCUCCCUUUGCGCACAUGCGCAUGGUCUCAUUGCUACUUGAACUGGCUCAGUCCGCUGCCACCACAUCAGCAGGAGGCGGAGUUUAGGUUGUGGAAUGGAUGUUUUUUUAAGUACUUAGAUUUUUAAAGAGGAAAAGAAAGGCAAGGAGUACCUGUGAGCCAUCCUUCCAUUUAACUUCAACUUCCUUCUUCUGAUGUCACUUAUAGCAAGAAUGUCAAAGUUGGUUAUGAUUCUGCUGCUUCAGCAAUAUGUCUACUCAUCUGUUAUUGGACAAGGAUCUCCUAUUUAGAUUAGAAGAAGUUAAAUUCAGGUUUGUUGACAGUCUAAAAACUGUAUGACUCUUAGCACUCUCUGGCCUGUUGGACUGAGGUAACAGCAAGGAAUAUACCUGAACAGAAUUUCUCCAUUGACCAAAUUGAACAUUUGACUGUUAACUUAAGUAAUUGAGUAUUUAUAAUAUGAAUUGACUGUAUCCUAAAACCAUAUAGAUCAGUCAGUCAAUAGGCAUUGUGCUAAACACUAGGACUACAAAGAAAAGCAAAAUAUAAUCUUUGCUCUUAAAAAAUUCACAGUCUAAUGGGGGAGACAACAAAUAAACAACUAUUUAUGGAUAAGAUGUAUAUUGGCAAAAUUGGAAAUCAGCAGAAGGAAGGUAGUAGCAGUAAGAAAGAGGAGGAAAGGUUUCUUGAAGAACAUUGGCUUUUUUUGCUGAGAUUUGAAGGAAGCCAGGAGGCAGUAUAAUAAUAUGCAUCAAGAAGAUACCUAUCUGGAAAGCCAAAAUCUUGAGAAUAAAGCACGAAUGGGAGAAUAUUUGGUCAACAAUCACUAAAGGAAGAAACAAAGCUAAUAACACAGUGGAAGUAUAUUACUGAUCACCUGACCUAUGCCAGGAAUUGUUUAAGUUCCUGGCAUAGAACACAAAACUCUCACAGAAACCAUAAUAGUGCUGAAGGACUAUCUCUGCUAAAAGCAAAGAUGUUGAAUUCUUGAUUUGUCUUGUUAAUUUAAUCUUUUAGAAAAAUGAGAGAAACAAUGAGAGGAACUGCUAUUUUGAAAUUGAUUCUGACAAAUAACAAUCAGCUAACAUUUAUAUAGUGCCUAUUAUGUGACAGGAACUGUGUUAAGUAUUUUAUAAAUAUCUCAUUUGAUUCCCACAACAACUGUGGGAGUUAAGUAGUAUUGUUAUUUCCAUUUUAUAGAUGAGAAAGUCAAGGUAGACAAAAAUUAAAUGACUUUGCCUUGGGUAAUAUAGCUAUUAAGCUUCUUAAGGCCAAAUAUGAAUUCAGGUCCUCUUGACUCCAAGUCUAGUGCUCUAUCCAUUUCACCAAAUGGUAAUGAAAACCAUGCAAGAUAGGAAAUAUACUAUCUUAGAGAAGAUGAUUGAUUAGGAAGGCAAUGCUAGCCAUAGUCUGAAAUACCCUGGACCUAGAACCUCAUAGCCAAAAACUAAAAGGGAAAUUGUCUCAAGAGAGAAAAUUUAAGCAGGGAAUUCUGACAAUGUAGUUGUCAUUGAUUAGCAUGAGGAAAAAAAAAGGUAGUUGUCUUUAAACUGUAUAAGAAACUCAUCAAUGAACUGAGAUUUUAAAGGAAGAGAGAUGAAAAAAAAAGAAGGUAAUUGAGGAAAAGGAACAAAAUAAUGACUAGAUCCUGUAGCAGUGAUUUCAUGAGAAGGCUCUAAUUUGUUUACAGAAAAUUAGCUGAGACUUGUGAUAAAUACCAAAGAUGACAAUGACAACAACAGCAAAAAGAUUUAUUAAAAUCUGUGUUAGAAACAGAGAUGUUCUGUGCUCCACCUCUGUGCCUUUGCACUCUCUCUUCAUAUCUACAUUAUACAAUCCUCAUAUUCCCUCCAAGCACCAUUCAGAUGUCACCUCCUACAUGAAGCUUUUUCCCAAUUCCCCCAUUAUUAUCACUCAAAAUUUCUUUUAAUUACUUUGUAUAUUUACUGCAUUUAUUUGUGUAUGUGGCUCUCCUCAGCAAAAUGUAAAUUGUUCAAAAGCCAGGGACUAUUCCAUUUUUGUCUUUGUAUCUCCAGUACCUGCAUUUAUCUUUUAAGUAAUAAGGGCUUAAUAAAUGGUUAUUGAAUUGAAUGACAAAAUUGGGACUCAAAGGUAUUCAAAUUGUAGAUUAAAUAUAAUAAAAUGAAAUUUGUAAGAAA
Molecule: long non-coding RNA, 2305 nt
Organism: Monodelphis domestica (gray short-tailed opossum)
Lineage: Eukaryota; Metazoa; Chordata; Mammalia; Didelphimorphia; Didelphidae
Source: RefSeq, a predicted model, not a curated record